This 459-nucleotide ribosomal RNA is filed under the name uncultured bacterium. Its description in RNAcentral is "partial 16S ribosomal RNA". It matches the Rfam family "Bacterial small subunit ribosomal RNA", at positions 338 to 795 of the family's 1533-position model. The record is from RNAcentral.
CCUACGGGGGGCUGCAGUGAGGAAUAUUGGUCAAUGGGAGAGAUCCUGAACCAGCCAAGCCGCGUGAGGGAAGACGGCCCUAUGGGUUGUAAACCUCUUUUGCCGGAGAACAAAACCCGGGACGUGUCCCGGACUGCGUGUAUCCGAAGAAAAAGCAUCGGCAAACCCCGCGCCAGCAGCCGCGGUAAUACGGAGGAUGCGAGGGUUAUCGGGAUUCAUUGGGUUAAAGGGGGGCGUAGGCGGUCCGUUAAGUCAGCGGUAAAAUUGAGGGGCUCAACCCCGUCGAGCCGUUGAAACUGGCAGACUUGAGUUGGCGAGAGGUACGCGGAAUGCGCGGUGUAGCGGUGAAAUGCGUAGAUAUCGCGCAGAACUCCGAUUGCGAAGGCAGCGUGCCGGCGCCAGACUGACGCUGAGGCACGAAAGCGUGGGGAUCGAACAGGAUUAGAUACCCUAGUAGUC